GGACUACACGGGUUUCUAAUCCUGUUUGCUCCCCUUGCUCUCGCGCCUCAGCGUCAGGUGAUAGCUAGAAAACCGCUUUCGCCACCGGUGUUCUUCCACAUAUCUACGCAUUUCACCGCUACACGUGGAAUUCCAUUUUCUCCGCCAUCCCUCGAGAUUCAUAGUUUCAUAUGCAGCUCCGAAGUUGAGCUUCGGAAUUUCACAUCUGACUUUCAAAUCCGCCUACGCGCCCUUUACGCCCAAUAAAUCCGAUUAAUGCUUGCACCCUCCGUAUUACCGCGGCUGCUGGCAC
This 292-nucleotide ribosomal RNA is filed under the name uncultured bacterium. RNAcentral describes it as "partial 16S ribosomal RNA". The record is from RNAcentral.